GUGUGUAGUGUGUGUCUAUCUGCAUAUGUGUGUAUGUGUGUGUAGCUUGUGUUUGUCUACUAUUUGUGAAAAAUAACAUCAGAAUGUACACUGGUUCACAGAAGAAGAUAGCUGGGAAGAGGGUCCCCCGCAUGCCUGGCAGCCUGUGGACAGAGGAUGGAGAACGCGGAGCCUCCUUUGUGCCUGGGCCUCUCAUGCGCCCUGCCCGGGGAGCGGGUGCUCCAAGCCUGAGGCCCUGCCCUCUCCCUGCCUGCCUGCUCUGUGGCUGCUGUGGGGCACAGUCCUGAGGCCGAGGGAAGGCGCUGGCUGCUCCGCGCCCGCUCAUGGCGUCCCCUGCCUUCCCUGGCCCCUCACCUGCGGUCCCACCUCCCGCCCUCGGCCUCAGGGCGGGGCGCGACUGGGGCCCAUGGAGCGUCUGCCGCCCAGGACCGAGCUGGACACUUCUGCCUGCCCCAGACCGGGGAGUCGCUCCCAAAUCGGAGCUCCGCCUCUGUGCCUCCUCCGGAACGUGCGUGUCCGUGCCUCCCGUGCCCCGCCGGAGUCUCAGGCUGAGGGCAUGAAAGCGGCUGUGGGAAGCUUCUUUGGCCUAUUCCCUCUCCUGGAACUCCAUGAAAUGUGAAAUGGGGGCCACUCCUCAGCUGGGUGUGCCACCCAGCAACUGCUGGGCUCCAGCUUCUCCUGCAUGCAGCAAAGCUUGGAAGCCCCUCAGCCCCACCACACUGUACUCACCUUCAUCCAGUGCAGCUAUGCAGGGCCUGCUCCAGACACCUCCCGAGGUCCCUCCAUCCAACCACAUCUAGAUCAGAGGCUGCCAAGGAGGCUCAGGACCGCAUAGACUUGAAUGGCAGGGGACAAGCUCAGGAUGGCUUGAGACCUGAAUGUUUCUUUUCAUGAGACUAUAUGGUGUACAAUAUGAUGUUUUGAUAUAAGUAUACAUUUUGAAAUGAUUAAAUUGAGCCAAUUAACAUAUUGAUCAC
This 977-nucleotide long non-coding RNA is filed under the name Pan paniscus (pygmy chimpanzee). RNAcentral's name for it is "lncRNA (ENSPPAG00000044548.1)". Lineage: Eukaryota; Metazoa; Chordata; Mammalia; Primates; Hominidae. The record is from RNAcentral.